RNAcentral lists this ribosomal RNA (1570 nucleotides) under Phylladiorhynchus spinosus. Its description in RNAcentral is "SSU rRNA". It matches the Rfam family "Eukaryotic small subunit ribosomal RNA", at positions 21 to 1302 of the family's 1831-position model. The record is from RNAcentral. Lineage: Eukaryota; Metazoa; Arthropoda; Malacostraca; Decapoda; Galatheidae.
GAUUAUAUGCUUGUCUCAAAGUUUAAGCCAUGCAUGUCUAAGUACAGACUCAUAAUAAAAGUGAAACCGCGAAUGGCUCAGUAAAUCAGCUGUGAUUCUCUGGAUCUAUAUACAAAGACCUGCUUCGCCAGCACUUGGAUAACUCUGGCAAUUCUAGAGCUAAUACAUGCAAACAUAGUCCCUGGUAGCCACUGUCCAUGUUUUCUGAUGCAAGAGUACAGAUGGCUGUAAGCCGAGGGCGCUUUUAUUAGUAUCAAAACCGGUUCAUUCGGGCUACGGUCCGUAAAACCCCAUUAUGAUGACUCUGGAUAUCUUGUAGCUGAGCAAGCAGUCUUUUGUUGACCCUUUGCCUGUUCUCUCAAGGGUCUGCCUUAUCACGCUGUACUGUAUAAUAUGGGUCCUACCAUGGCAAUAACGGGUGACGGGGAAUCAGGGUUCGAUUCCGGAGAGGGAGCCUGAGAAACAGCUACCACAUCUAAGGAAGGCAGCAGGCGCGCAACUUACCCACUCUCAGCACGGGGAGGUAGUGACGAAAAAUAACGAUGCGAGACUCAUCCGAGGCCUCGCAAUCGGAAUGAGUACACUUUAAACACUUUAACAAGUAUCAAUUGGAGGGCAAGUCUGGUGCCAGCAGCCGCGGUAAUUCCAGCUCCAAUGGCAUAUAUUAAAGUUGCUGCGGUUAAAAAGCUCGUAGUUUAAACUACUUGCUUGGGCUGGAUUUUUUUUGGGAACUGUAAGCCCCUUUAUUGAGGCUGCCCAUGGCCACGCCUAAUCAACCGCUUCAACUUAUAAAAUGGUUUGGCUAUAUAGCUGGCUCACAUGGGGUUGCUCUUGACUGAGUGUCCCCGCGUGGCUGGCCCUUUUACUUUGAAAAAAUUAGAGUGCUCAAAGCAGGUAACCAAUAGGGCCUGAAUAUUAAUGCAUGGAAUAAUGAAAUAUGACAUCUGGUCCAUUUUUUGUCAUAGAGAGAUUAAAUGAUCAAUUCCAGGAGGAGGGCAACCUCCUCUUGGAUCAACAACAAUCACAAACUUGUGUACCGGUUUUCCAGAAGGAUACUGGUGUGCCCUCACGGCCAGAUUAACUUUUGUGCCUGUGUUGUGCCAUCCAGAUACCUAUGGGAACCAGUUGUAAUGAUCAAUAGAGACUGCUGGGGGCAUUUGUACUGAGGCGCGAGAGGUGAAAUUCUGUGACCGUCUCAAGACAAACAACAGCGAAGGCAUUUGCCAAGGAUGUUUUCACUGAUCAGGAACGAAAGUUAGAGGUUCGAAGGCGAUCAGAUACCGCCCUAGUUCUAACCGUAAACGAUGCUAACCAGCAAUCCGCCGGUUGUUAUCAUUAAUGACCCUGCGAGCAACUUCCGGGAAACCAAAGUCUUUGAGUUCCGGGGGAAGUAUGGUUGCAAAACUGAAACUUAAAGGAAUUGACGGAAGGGCACCACCAGGAGUGGAACCUGCGGCUUAAUUUGACUCAACACGGGAAACCUCACCAGGUCCGGACACUAGAAGGAUUGACAGAAUGAAAGCUCUUUCUCGAUUCAGUGGGUGGUGGUGCAUGGCCGUUCUUAGUUGGU